GACGAACGCUGGCGGCGUGCUUAACACAUGCAAGUCGAACGGAAAGGCCCUGCUUUUGUGGGGUGCUCGGGUGGCGAACGGGUGAGUAACACGUGAGUAACCUGCCCUUGACUUUGGGAUAACUUCAGGAAACUGGGGCUAAUACCGGAUAGGAGCUCCUGCUGCAUGGUGGGGGUCGGAAAGUUUCGGCGGUUGGGGAUGGACUCGCGGCUUAUCAGCUUGUUGGUGGGGUAGUGGCUUACCAAGGCUUUGACGGGUAGCCGGCCUGAGAGGGUGACCGGCCACAUUGGGACUGAGAUACGGCCCAGACUCCUACGGGAGGCAGCAGUGGGGAAUAUUGCACAAUGGGCGGAAGCCUGAUGCAGCAACGCCGCGUGCGGGAUGACGGCCUUCGGGUUGUAAACCGCUUUCGCCUGUGACGAAGCGUGAGUGACGGUAAUGGGUAAAGAAGCACCGGCUAACUACGUG
RNAcentral lists this ribosomal RNA (468 nucleotides) under uncultured bacterium. RNAcentral's name for it is "partial 16S ribosomal RNA". It matches the Rfam family "Bacterial small subunit ribosomal RNA", at positions 28 to 507 of the family's 1533-position model. The record is from RNAcentral.